Molecule: ribosomal RNA, 496 nt
Filed under: uncultured bacterium
Lineage: Bacteria
Description: partial 16S ribosomal RNA
Rfam family: Bacterial small subunit ribosomal RNA
Source: RNAcentral
GAUGAACGCUGGCGGCGUGCCUAAUACAUGCAAGUCGAGCGAACAGACGAGGAGCUUGCUCCUCUGACGUUAGCGGCGGACGGGUGAGUAACACGUGGAUAACCUACCUAUAAGACUGGGAUAACUUCGGGAAACCGGAGCUAAUACCGGAUAAUAUAUUGAACCGCAUGGUUCAAUAGUGAAAGACGGUUUUGCUGUCACUUAUACAUGGAUCCGCGCCGCAUUAGCUAGUUGGUAAGGUAACGGCUUACCAAGGCAACGAUGCGUAGCCGACCUGGGAGGGUGAUCGGCCACACUGGAACUGAGACACGGUCCAGACUCCUACGGGAGGAAGCAGUAGGGAAUCUUCCGCAAUGGGCGAAAGCCUGACGGAGCAACGCCGCGUGAGUGAUGAAGGUCUUCGGAUCGUAAAACUCUGUUAUUAGGGAAGAACAAAUGUGUAAGUAACUAUGCACGUCUUGACUGUACCUAAUCAGAAAGCCACGGCUAACUACGG